CUUCCUAUGCACAUCUGUCCUU
RNAcentral lists this microRNA (22 nucleotides) under Branchiostoma floridae (Florida lancelet). RNAcentral describes it as "bfl-miR-2068-5p". The record is from miRBase by way of RNAcentral. RNAcentral also lists the same sequence under 2 other names. Lineage: Eukaryota; Metazoa; Chordata; Leptocardii; Amphioxiformes; Branchiostomatidae.